RNAcentral lists this long non-coding RNA (5031 nucleotides) under Panax ginseng (ginseng). Its description in RNAcentral is "long non-coding RNA (PGIN_LNC005612)". Lineage: Eukaryota; Viridiplantae; Streptophyta; Magnoliopsida; Apiales; Araliaceae. The record is from RNAcentral.
CCGACCAUAAAGGAGAAGAGGAGAGAGAGAGAGAGAGAGAUCACCCAUUAAAAAGAGGAAGGAGAGAAGAGAAGAAAAAAGAGAAAGAAGAGGAAGAAGAAACCAUGGGUUUUUUCCCUCACUCUCACCCAAAAAUCCUAGAGAAAACUUGAGAGCUUGAGAGGGAAUGGAAGGGGGAGGCCAUGGUUAGGGAGGAGUAGAGAGAAGAGGGAUUUCAAGCUCAUCCAAGAAGGAGUAGCCAUCAUCCAACCAUUCCUAGCAAAGGUUGAAAAGUUUUCUAAACCAUAAUCUCACUUUUCUUGGUUUAGAUUAUGUUUUGUUUGUUUAUGGUAAGAGUUUGAUGAAAUAGAUCAUGGAUCAUGGUAGAUCCAUGAGUAUAAUAUGUAUUAAGUUGGUUUAUGUUGGUUAAUGUUUGAUUAAUCAAGAGAUCAUGGAAGUUUUCUUACAAAACAUAAAGGUUAGAAAAUCAGAUUUUUGAGAAAACGAAACAUGAAAUUCAAAUGAUUACAUCUCUCAUUCUGAUUCGAAUUUUUGAGUGUGGUUAAGUCCUAGAGUUAGAUCUAUGAGUCUUCUAACAUCUCCAACUAGAAUCACUAAAAAAGGUGCUGUAAAUUUUCAUAUGGACUGUUUUUGGCAAAUUAGGAAAAAUCUGGAAAUACCGAAAACAAGUUGUCCAAAAAUUUGUAGGGGCAUUUAUGGCAAUUUAAUUAUUGAAAUAAAAUCAGACCGUUUGUGAAAUGAUAAUAUAUGAUAUAAAUUAGCGCAUGUCCAAAAAUGAACUUAUUCUGACUUAAAUCGAUCGUGUUAUGGCAAUUUCAAUUUUUGGGUUUUUCUGACGAAAACGGCUAUAACUGGAGUUAUAUAACUCCGAUGAUCGACCACAAAAUUUAAACUGAAAGUUCAUGCUAAUACGUGUAAGAUUGUGUCAAGAGUUGGGAAUUUUUGGAGUUAAGCAUGAUGUAACUAAUUUUCUUAAGUUACGAACUAAAAACGGACUCAUGAAAAAUACUAAACGAAAUGGAUAAAUUCCAAAAAAAAAAUAUUUUCAUUAGAAUACCAAAUACUGAUGUUUCCCAGAAAAGAAAAAAUUCCGGGCGUGUUUUGGUAUUUUUCAUGUAAAUGUUUGAGUUAUGGAUAAAUUGAUAAAUUAAGUUAAAUGAUGUGAGAAAUUAUGAAAAUAUGAUUUUAUGACUUAAAGGCCCAUAAUAUGAUAUAAUCAGAUUUUUGGAGGGUAUGUAAUGACCGUGAAUUUUAAACUCCUUGUUAAUUAAAUAUGUGAGUUAAUUUUAAUGAGUUAGUUUUGUGAGUUUAUUAAACCUUAUGUGGUUAUGUGAAUUAAUGAAAUGAUUAAAGGGAGUCACUAAUAGUUACUUAAAUUGGUGGACUAACCCUAAGAGUUUGAUAUCAAAGAAUUGUUAGGAUUCUUAAUGAUUAAAUAUUCAAUCUAUUUGAAUAUAGUGACAGGAUUUGAACAUAUUGAUUCAUUUCAAUUAUGGGUAUAUCACCAUUAUAGAAGUUAAAUUAUCUCAUAUAAAACUUAUGUGGUGAUAGAAAUUUGAACUGGCUUGAAGCUAACCCAUUUUGGCACUGCCAGGGACCGGCGCAGCUGCGCCCUCCCAGCAGUACAAAAUGGCGUAGCUGCGCCAGUGUCCAGUCUGAGACAGUUAGUUCCUAUUGUAGAAAAUGAAAUGGAAUAUUAGUGUAAUGUGUGUCAUGCAUAAAAUCAUAUAAUAAGAAUACCUUCUAAUGAUAUGAAGUAUCAAGUAGUGCAAUAAAAUCACAAGUGAUUUUAAUACAGAAAUAAUUAAAUAUCUGAGUAUUCCAGAAAUUGGAAAAGAAAUUACGUGUGUACACUGGAUAUAUAAUAUUAAAUAAUGUGAUGAUGCGGUUAUGUGGGUAGUAAAAUAUAAUUAUGGAGAUACACGGAUAAUAAUACCUAACCGUGUUAUUUUAAUUGCGUGUAUUUAAUGUAUAUGGAUUUUAUGAUGUGAGUAUCUAAUUAAUCCCUAAAUUCCCAAUACAGUAACACUUGGACAUUAAAACCCAUUUUUGGUUAGUAAAGUAACUGAACUUGGAAUUUGCUAAGCUUGUUGCUGAUAUUUGCUCUUGUCCCAUAAUAAGAGCCCAAUUCAUUUUUCCACAUGAAUAGCUAGCUAGCCUAUCUUCAUCUCAAAUUCAACCAACCUAGAGCAAUUAGUGGAUGGGGAGUGGGAUUCAUGAGUGAAAUCACCAACUCUCACCAACUUCCUCUUAUCCAUUAUACAUCUUUGAUUUCCUUUGGUUUGUUUUGGGAAGUAAUUGCAUUGUCUGUGUAAACCAUUCUCCUAUAAAUGAGACCCUCACCUUCCUUAUUGCAAUUGCUGAGAAUUAGUUUGCUAAGGAGCUUAUAAAGAGUGAGUAAAUUGUUAUAUUGCAGCUGAAUUGAUUUACAGAGGUAUAACUUCCAUUCCUAUUCUUCAUUUUUGAUAAAUUGCUUAGUGAAAUGAUUCUUUGAAUUAAGCAUGUAUUAGUUGAUAUUUGGUUUGGGUUAUGUUGCUUAGUGCUAUACAAGUUUCUAAAUGUGUUGGGUUAAGCUAGAAAUAAUUUUCAUAAGGAAUUUGUGUGAUGGGUUGCUAAACUGCCGAAGUAGAGCAGUGUCUGUCUCUGGCCGACAGCCUACGCAGCUGCGCCAGUUUUGCACUGGCCAGCGGCGCAGCUGCGCUAGUCCUGCACCAGGUCUUAUGUGUUCUGUUAUGUUUCUGUUCGUGUUAACUUGUUGGCACCUGGUUAGAGCAAGCAUGUAAACUGUUGAAGCACACACACAUAAGCAUAUGCAUGUAGUAUAAACAAGUAUAACCAUGUUAGUACCUACAAUGGACACAAUACUUGUGGUCUUGAAAUGAAAUUGUAGUUCAAAAGUGAACUUUGUCACGAACACAUCAUGUGAACAUUCUGACUUUAUGAACAUGAUAAUAUGGUUUAUAUUGACAUAAAAUGCAAGAUUUAAGUGAUUAAACACACUAGCAUACGUGAUUGGAAGUUAAGACUAUUCCAAAGAUAAGAAACUUAAGACUUUUUAAACUGAACUUGACCAAGACAUUUAUCUAGUAAGUUCUGACCAUUUGAGCAUGUAUAUGUGACUCUAGUAUAUGUUGUAAAUGCAUAAGAUUUAUAUGUCAAGAUUUCUUAUAUAUACUAAGUUGGCUUAGUGUAAAAAAAUUCAAAGAAUGUUAGAAUGAAGAAGCUAAGGUCAUCAAGUAAUGAGCAAAGUACGUUAUGACCAUGCAAGCAUAUAUAUUAGGACUCAUUAUGCCUAUAACUAUAUUGGCAUGAGCAUCGUUUGGUUAAGGUAUGGUUUUCACUUAUGCACACAUAGUCAUAAAAAGGAAAUUUCUAAAAUAUGAACUAUGUGAGUAAAGUAUACAUAUGUUGUCUAUAUACAAGCAUGACUACUGAGUAUUAUAUAAUCAAGUUACAAAGCAUGAUGAUUACAUGACCUUUGUAUGUUUUAAUGACAUAUAAAUUGUAAGUUAAACUCGUGGUAAUGGAUUCAAGUAUGGUCAUGUGGUAUAUGUGAAACUCUAGCAUGUACGUAUGUUAAAAUAUAUGUGUAAUUGGUGUGUUAGAGUUGGACUGAAGUCAGGAAGUGCAAAUCUCAAACCUGGUCUGACCAGGGGACAGCGUAGCUGCGCCGUCCCUAAGCCUAGACCAGGCGUAGCUGCGCCGUCCUGCAGUCUUACCAAGAUUCUAUUUUUGGUUUAAACUUUCAAUGCAUGCUUAUAUGAUUACUUUACCUUGUAAUAUGUGACCAAUAUGCUAUAUAAUGUGUUGAGAAGCAUGCUAUGUGAUGACUUGAUUCUUGUAAGUGUAGACUUACAUUAGUUCACAUACUAAUUGAAAGACCGACUUGUUAAUGUUAGGUCGUUUCAAUGCAAGUUAGUUAAAACUAGUAUUAUAUUGUAGCUGAGAAAACAGACAAGUUUCUUAAUUCUUACUCUCUUCCUUGAGCAAGUAUCCGAACCCUACUUUUAUUGAGCAAGUUCCCUAAUCUCACUCAAACUAUUAUUGAGCAAGUUUCCUUGAAUUUCACUCUUUGGUUGUGCAAGUUCCUUGAACCAUACUUUUAUUGUGAAAGUUUCCUAUCCUUCUUAUAUGGUAUUGAGCAGGCUAUUGUUGAAUUGAAAGUUAUUCAAUUAAGCUUGAACUUUAUUUUCAAGCAUGCUGUUAAGUGGUUUAAUUACUUUACAAUUAUUCCACAUCGAUAUUAUUGAUAUUCGCACUUAGUGCACUUGAGUUCGUACAGUCUUGGACUUGUACAUCAUUUAAAGUUCAAUAAUUCUUGAAUUGUGUUAGAUAGAGCCUGAAGCUUUGUUCGGUCAGAUAAGAGUAUGAAGUUUUAUAAAAGCUAUCCAAACCAAUUGAUGGUAAGGAUUCUUAGACUGAGAGAACACCCCUUUUAAUAGGGGAGUACCCCAGGUAUCUAAUAUAAGAUACAAAGAGCAGAUUUAAAUGUUAUGCAUAUACAUAGUGUACGUGAGGCUGAUCCCCUUAAGUACUUAUUUUGUAGCCAGUAACCAAAGGGUCAAUUAGCUAUUGAUUCCAUUGGAGUGUUAUAGUUCAAAGUCUACUUGACUAGCAGUUAUUCUAAAAGCAAUCAUUAUCUUUGCUUCCAAUAUUCAUAUUGUUGAAUUCAUUGACAGAUAUUUUCCAUUCAUCAUGAUAUAUCCUUAUUGUUGUAAUUAAACUUGUUCGGCAAACUUGUUGCUCAUCCUUUCUAUAUCAUGAAUUAUAUUGCAGCUAAGCCCGAGACCUCAGGGAAGGACAAGGGUAAAGGAAAGAUGUAGAAUAGUGGCAAGGAGCAGACUUUACCUUACGCUUAGUUUAAAUUACUGUUAUGUAAUAUUUACCCUAAUGUUUAUAUUAGGGUAUGUUUGUAAGAUGAUAUUAAGGUUAUCGUAUCUUGGGACUAGUAACACCUUUUGAAUGAACGACGUACGUUUAUAUUUUUCUGUAUUUUAGUCAUCGUAUGUUGUUUAGAGGUGGAUGUUUGUA